RNAcentral lists this ribosomal RNA (253 nucleotides) under uncultured bacterium. RNAcentral's name for it is "partial 16S ribosomal RNA". It matches the Rfam family "Bacterial small subunit ribosomal RNA", at positions 524 to 776 of the family's 1533-position model. The record is from RNAcentral.
UACGGAGGGUGCGAGCGUUGUCCGGAAUCACUGGGCGUAAAGCGCGCGUAGGCGGAUCUGCAAGUCGGGGGUGAAAUCCCGAGGCUCAACCUCGGAACUGCCUUCGAUACUGCGGGUCUCGAGUCCGGGAGAGGUGAGUGGAAUUCCUAGUGUAGAGGUGAAAUUCGUAGAUAUUCGCAAGAACACCAGUGGCGAAGGCGGCUCACUGGUCCGGUACUGACGCUGAGGUGCGAAAGCGUGGGGAGCAAACAGG